This 1933-nucleotide long non-coding RNA is filed under the name Homo sapiens (human). RNAcentral describes it as "long intergenic non-protein coding RNA 635". The record is from RNAcentral. Lineage: Eukaryota; Metazoa; Chordata; Mammalia; Primates; Hominidae.
AUAGCAACAGCAGCGUAGCUGAACAUCUUACGGAUGGCCCAGGGCUCCAAAGGCUCGUUUCCUAAGUGAGAGAGAGCCUGGCUGAAGCUGUAUUACCAUUCAUUCUCCAGCCUCCGAAGUCUCAAAGCAUCACUUCCACCAUACUCUAACUGUCAAGACAAACACAAAGGCCCAGAAACUGCCAGACUGUCUUCUGAAGUGGCUAUAAUAUUUACACUCCCAUCAGCAGUGUAGAAGGGGUCUCACUAUGUUGUCUGGAGUGCUGUGGUGGAGUGGAGUGGCUAUUCACAGGAUUCUUGGAAUGGACUGUAAAAGUCUGGAAUCAAGACUUUGUGUUUCCUCUCUAACAUGUAAAGAGCUUAGAAGUUGUCGCUAUUGCCCUUACAACAAAAUGAAGCUGGACAAACUGAAAAUCAAUGACUUUUCUUGGACUCACUAUACAGCUGAGUUUGCAGAGUAAACCACUACCCUGAAAUCUGGAAAGGCAGGUGCACCCACAGAUCCUCAGCUGAGAUCCAAUUACCUGAAAUAGAAGCUGCCAUUAGGAACACUUAAAAGAGCCUGUUCUGCUGGGACACAGAAUCACUUGCUCCAUCUCAUACAUUGAUGAUGAUUAAUUUGUAUGUGUACCUUCCAAAAAAGAUGGUUGUGUUUGAAUGGAGGCCUUCUGGACAGGAAAAUUGCAAAGUACAAUUAACAUUUGAGUCUGUCUGAGUCAUGAAGAAAUGGAGAUUACUGAAAAUAAUUCAUUUUGGUAUCUUCUUACAUCCUGAGAGACUAAUCUUUCCAAGUUCAUCUGAGGCUCCUCUUCUCCAUGACAACCUCAUCCAGGGAUUUCUUCCUGUCCUGGUGUUUUAUGACAUGUGGAAGGGGACUGUAGCAGGUGAUCUCCAAAGUCUCUGGAGACUUACUAAUGUGCAUCCUCAUCUCGCUUGUAAGGAUAAUAGCCUUCCUCCAAACCUCACACACUUUUGGAGGAGAUCACUUUUUUUAAAGUGCAUGGAAAUGUUUUGAAACAGUGAAAUCUAUAAUGAUAGGUUUCAUAAUUCUAACAUCCACACCAUAUGAAUCACAUCCUUCCUGAGAUAAUGAGCACACAAUUGCCUGGAUACCUGAAGGAAUGGAGACAGCGGCAGAAAACACUGCAGAGAGGUGGAAACAUCCGUUAAUAUUUUAAAAUCCCAUUACUGCUACCAACAAUAAUAAUGGAUGCAUAGAAAUAGAUCUGGAUUAGCUGAGCUUGAAACAGUCCAUCUCACACACACACAAAAGAAUUUCAGAUACAGUGAACCCACAUGUUGAAGCUUUCUAGUAUAAUAAAAAUUUCAACUGUUCUGUUGAAUCAUCUGCCUGAUUGGAGGCUACAGAAAAGAUGUCAUCUUAGGAGUGCUUGCUCUGAGUGAGGCUCAUCUUCAAAUCUGAAUGACCACAAGGAGAUUUGAUUAUACAUGUGAACACCUCAGAAGGCACAGCCCACCCAGAAGGCAGACAGGUCAGGCUGCUUUUUCUUCAUUGCUUGGAUUCAAUCCUCCGGGCGGCUCAGGCUCAAACAUAACUUAAGCAUGAUUAAACUUUAGAAGAAGCUGCCAGGAAGACUGUGAAAUCUUCAUGCCCAAGGAUCCCUAAAAUUAGGAGCAACAACCACUUGGCUCAGACGGUUUAUGGAGGCAAAGGUUUGGAUGGGAUUAGAGAUUUCUAAAUGUGAGUUCGUGUCCUCUGCCAGACCACCUUACUUCCACCAUUCCUCAGCAAAUCAAGAAAAACAGGAGAAAAGACAUGCCUUUCCAUAAGUUAAAUCUAUUCUGUUUUAAUUCUAUAUUAUAUCUGCUGUACAACUUCUUUUGUUUGUAACACCAUAUUGUUGCUAGUAACUGGAAAUUAAUUUUCACAUGCCUCAGCUUAGAAAAAUAAAAAGCAGCCCUGCAUCAAUCCC